This is an RNA transcript of Nicotiana tabacum (common tobacco), 4077 nucleotides long. RefSeq lists it as uncharacterized. Lineage: Eukaryota; Viridiplantae; Streptophyta; Magnoliopsida; Solanales; Solanaceae. The record is from RefSeq and is a predicted model, not a curated record.
UAGAGAAGUGAAAAAAACCUAAAAUCACACCAGUUGGCUCUCCCAAUUUCUCAACUUGACCCUCAUUUUCUUGUUUCUUCUUCACACAAAAAGCAUCAGCACCUGCACAAUCAUCAUUCUCUCUCUCUCUGGUAAAAAAGACAUGACAAUUUGCAUUAUUUUUGCCCCAAUUGAAACCCCUCCUCUUUACAUGCUUUUCCUCCUCAGAAAAUGUGUUUUUGUUCAUCAUUCUCCUUCUUGUUGGCCCUCCAAACCCUUGUGAUUGAUCUCUACCUUUUCCAAAUAUUCACUUUCCCAUUAUUAUAUAUACACACACUUCUUAACCCAUAGCUACCACUCAACUUCUCUCGAUCUGUUUUCUAAGACAUACUCCUUAGUUUUCAACAAAAAUGAAAAGAGCAGCAUACUAUAGUGCUGUACCCCAAAUGCAGGAUCUUUGGCCUAUCAAGAAGGCUCUCACAUUGUCUGAUGUAGAUAUCACUCAUCCAUUUCUCACUUUGUCUCGGCAACAAGUAGAGAACCACAUUGUAUUGCACAUGACAGCACAACAACAAGACCAUUUGAGAGCCCAAGGCCAAGUAGAUUUUAAUGCCCGAGAUGAUGAUACAGGUGAGAUGUAUGUGAUGAAGUUGAAAUGGCGGGGAAGCUAUUACAAUCUUAUUGGUAAGUGGGGCAGAGUCGUGCGAGGGAAAGGACUUGAUGUUGGGCAAGAGAUUAAAGUACGUUGGGAAAAUGGGUGCUUACACUUCUCGGUCCCGCAGCAGCAGAUCGUUGCAGUCCCACCAAUUCGGAUGGUGGCAGCACCCGUGGUGCAGGACCACUGGCCCAUUAAGAAGAUCUUGACACUCUCUGAUGUGGACACUAAUCAUCCAUUUCUCCCUCUGCCCCGUCGGUUAGUUGAGGAUCAUAUUCUUGUGCAUUGGACAGCUCAGCAACAAGAACAACUGAGAAAGGAGGAGCCUGUGAAUGUAAAUGCCCGAGAUUAUGAUACCGGCGAAGGUUAUAUAAUGAAAUUUAAGUGGAGGGGAAAUUACUGUAACCUUAUUGGGAAAUGGGGAACAAUAAUUCGGCAGAAGGGACUUGGUGUUGGGAAAGAGAUCAGGUUGCGUUGGGCGAAUGAAUGCUUGUUCUUCUCAGUUCCCCAGGAGCGGUAUGUUGCCACGGCUUCGGGGAUGGAUAAUUGGCCUAUUAAGAAGGCACUUACAUUGUCUGAUGUGGAUACCAAUCAUCCAUUUCUUACUUUGCCCGGCAAGGCUGUUGAAGAUCAUAUUCUGUUUUACUGGUCACAGCAAGCCCGAGAACAACUGAGAAAUGAACAUCAGAUAAAUAUUAAUGCUCGAGAUGAUGACACUGGUGAUCCUUAUUUGAUGAAGUUAAGAUGGCGGGGAAGUUACUAUAAUCUCAUUGGAAAAUGGGGAAAAAUCAUUAGAGGGAAAAAACUCCAGGUUGGUAUAGAGAUCAGACUACGCUGGGAAAAUGGAUGCUUAUUCUUCUCAGUUCCUCAAUUGUAGCAGUGGCGCCGACCUGUAGAUGUAGGAGAACUACCAAUUCGCUUUUCCCAUUUCAUGUGUCAUUUCAACAUGGAAUGCGCAUUGGAAAUUAAAAUAAUUUCAGGAAAUAAUUCAUUGAAGUAGAUGGUUUAGCAGAGCUGGAACUAAAACUAUCCAGGCAGCAAGUGACUGGCACAUGGGACUGACCAAGCACAAAUUUUAUCAGUGGUAAUAUUUAUCGAUUCAGCAGCACUAAGAUGGUGCUGCGAGUGAUCCACAUCUGAAAAGCAAAAAAGAGGGUCCCUGGCUCAACUAUUUCGGGAGCCAGCAUAAUCUAACAGUGUUUCAGCAUCAUUUACAUGUUUCAAAUUACACCAACAAAGCAAUUAAAGUUAGCACUCAGCUUUGAUCUUCAUGAUUGAGUUAAUCUUCCUUUCAAAAUACCUUCUAUUCUUUCUUUUGUAAUGUCCACAAUAUACAUGCUGGAAUAGUGGGCCAACUUGUUUCUCAAACCCUUGUUUCUACAUAUGUUGUUCCAACGUUCUAGCAGCUCAGUGAAAAGAUUCAUACCAGUUCCAUAAUACUCGCAAAUAGAUGCCAGAUCUGUGUAAGGCUGUAGAGCAAUGUAGACACAAAUGAUUGGCACUUUCAGCUUUUUCUCCACACAUGUAGAACCUAUACUGAGUUGAUAUCCUCUUCUUUAUAAGUUUUCUUGAGUCAGGCAGAGGCAAGCUUCCUGAGUGACCAAGCACUCUAGGAAGCCACUUUAUAGAGUGCUUUUGACAUCCGUAUCUGCUUCAAUGGUCAUCGACCAAUCUGGUCUGGUCCUCUCAUCGGAACUGAAUUGAUGUGACUCUGAAGAUUCCUUUGUUUUGUGCUUCGCAAGACAGCUGGUCUGAUCCAUCAGAGAAACCUCGGGAGGAGCCCAAGACAAUGAAGAAAUUUAUCAUGCUUCCUAUUUCCCAAUCAUUGAAGUUCCUUCUAAACAUGACAAUCAAUUUGGUCCUUCUUAUUCUAUACUCGCAUGGGAAAUAAGGACAUGUAUGAAUAGAGUUCAAAAUACUGUUGAUUAGAAUCAUAUGACCUCCCAUUGACAAUAUUGUCUCUUCCAACUGGCUCUCAAGAUUCCAAAGACAAAUUACCCCUGCUUUAGUUAAACCUGAUCAAUGAUGGAAUUUCUCCAGACCAACAGAUCGAUUUUCUGCUGCACAUUGUUCAGUGACCACUACAACUUUCUCAUGGUAUAUAGCAGCAUCUGUUCGUCUUUGGGUGCAUGAUGGUACGUCAGCGUGAAUAACUAGACGAUUCCAGCUACUUGAAAGUCUUUAACCAGUCAUGAUCCUAAUAAGCACAGCUACUGCAGUCAAUAUGACCUCUACGAGAUGUUUAUAAAUUGAUCCUUCAGUUCAACCAAUUGGAUAUUCCUCUUUUGUGGUGAUUUUUUUGUACUAAAUUUACUGGGAACCUCAGAGUUUUUGGGCUCUCAAAGGAGAGAGGGGAUAAGGAGAGAGAGGGGAGCCUUCGUUGUUUUGGUUUAAUGGUAAAAGUGCAGUGUAAUGUGUGGAUUAAGCACACGUCACGGGUUUGAACUCUGCCGCAGACAGCCUGGUAUUUAAGUGAUGAAGAGUAAAGAGGCGGGUACAUUAUCCACUAAGUUUCGAACCAUGCACCAGCUGGCUCUCAACAAUUUAUUGGUUAUCCAAAAAAAAAGGGGAGAGAUUCGGGGAGCAUAUACCGAUGGAAAAUGAAGGGUAUGUGUCCCUGCGUAAUUUGCACAGUUGAGAACUAGCAAAGCUGGGUAUCAGUAAGUGACUGCAGCAUAGGAGUCAUUUGCUGUGCUAGUCUGCUGAAACUGAAAGCAGUAGACAUGAUUGCAGGACUUGAUCCAAUUGCUUCACUGGCCGCACAAGAGUAUUUGGCAUCUGCUGAUGGUUCAAAAUAAGCUAGAAGCUUAACUAAAGUUACUGUUAGGCGAAGGACGGCUGCUGUUUGAUUGUGUGUUUAAUUUAGUAGUGAUAUUUUCUAGAUCAUGAUUGGUUAGGGCAUCUCUCAUUUGUCACACGUCAGAGAUCAAAGCUGUGCCAUGUAGGAUAAGGUUGGGAAUGUUGUUUGUCUUUAUAUUUAUGGUUUCGUUAGGAGAAGAUUGAGAAGAGCAUACACCUACCAGGAUGUAUGCUAAUUGCCUAAUCAAGAUUUUCCCUUUUAAGAUUGGUCAAGGAAGCUCAAGAGCCUUGUCAAAAGUGGUGUGUGCAAGUCAUCCUCUCUCUAUCUCUCGGUCGUCAAAAAUUUGGACCAGAGAAAUUUGCUGGAUAUGACAAUUCGUUUUGCUAAUUGUGAAAUUAGUGUAGGAUACUAUGUAAAACUGGUGACUUGUACAGUUUGGUAGCAUGUAUGUUUGAGUUUAACUAGUUAUAGAGAGUAGUUCUCCUAGUUCCUUAAUUGAGCUUUGACCUCCACAAUGUCGAAGAUCAGGAAACUAAUGUUUUACAUAUUUCUCAGAACUAGCAGUUCCACGGUUGGCAACUGCUUAAAAUGAGUGGACUCUUACAGAAAUUCUAGAUGGGAAGAUGUGUUAUCCCUAUUUGAA